AUUGAACGCUGGCGGCUGGCCUAACACAUGCAAGUCGAGCGGAUGAAGGGUGCUUGCACCCUGAUUCAGCGGCGGACGGGUGAGUAAUGCCUAGGAAUCUGCCUGGUAGUGGGGGACAACGUUUCGAAAGGAACGCUAAUACCGCAUACGUCUACGGGAGAAAGCAGGGGACUUCGGGCCUUGCGCUAUCAGAUGAGCCUAGGUCGGAUUAGCUGAGGUGGUGGGGUAAAGGCUCACCAAGGCGACGAUCCGUAAACUGGUCUGAGAGGAUGAUCAGUCACACUGGAACUGAGACACGGUCCAGACUCUACGGGAGGCAGCAGGGGRAAUAUUUGGACAAUGGGCGAAAGCCUGAUCCAGCGCAUGCCCGUGUGUGAAGAAGGUCUUCGGAUUGUAAAGCACUUUAAGUUGGGAGGAAGGGCAUUAACCUAAUACGUUAGUGUUUUGACGUUACCGACAGAAUAAGCWCCGGCUAACUUCGUGC
This 484-nucleotide ribosomal RNA is filed under the name uncultured Gammaproteobacteria bacterium. RNAcentral's name for it is "bacterial SSU rRNA". It matches the Rfam family "Bacterial small subunit ribosomal RNA", at positions 30 to 508 of the family's 1533-position model. The record is from RNAcentral. Lineage: Bacteria; Pseudomonadati; Pseudomonadota; Gammaproteobacteria.